Molecule: non-coding RNA, 101 nt
Filed under: Triticum aestivum (bread wheat)
Lineage: Eukaryota; Viridiplantae; Streptophyta; Magnoliopsida; Poales; Poaceae
Description: Bacterial large subunit ribosomal RNA
Rfam family: Bacterial large subunit ribosomal RNA
Source: Rfam by way of RNAcentral
CAUACUCUUCGCCACCUGUAGCUGUAGGUGGUUACAAGGGUUGGGCUGUUCGCCCAUUAAUGUGGUACGUGAGCUGGGUUCAGAACGUCGUGAGACAGUUC